AAUAUUAAAUUAGACAGCAUUAUGUGAUAGUGUGAUUUACUCCCUCCGUUUCCAUAUUAUCUGCCCAUUAGAUAAAGACAUAAAACCUCUUUUGGCAUGGAGAUUAAGAAGACCAAACGAAUUUUUUGUUGGGGUAUCAUAAUAUUGUUUUGUGCAAAUUUAUUUUGGAACUGAGAAAGUAGUUUUACUGUUGCCAUGGAUUAUACUCAGCAAAACAUAUCAUUUUCUGUUAAGAUUCUAAAUUUUCAUACCUCCUGAACGAACUGCUUGUUUGUGACGCUAUUUUUGCAAUGCAGAACCUUAACCGCCACAGUGGUGUGGUGCAACUUGCACUUGUAGACAGUCCCGAACGCACCCGCCCCUAUCUUAUACUCCUCUGACAAGGACGAAGUGGCUUCUACGAUCUCGUCCCAGAUACCAAAUCAGAAAGCUUGACAGUCACAGUGGGAUGGAAGGCGUAGGACUGUAGGUUUGUUUAUCUUGACUAGCUCUGGUCGUGUGAUCUUUGCAUUACUUUCAAGACGUAGUUGCUGAAGCUUUCCAUCACCAAUGACAUACACUGAACAAAAAGUGGGAGCAUUCUCUGAGAUAACUUGUGAUAAGUCAUCUCCCCUGAUCAGUGACAGAUUUUUCCUGCAAGAAAAAAAGUGAUCUCCUAAAAUGAGCAAAUUCGUCAUGGAAAGAAGACGUGAAAACAUCAAUGAAUCAUGCAACAAGGUACUAUUGUUAUUUUCGGGUACACGUAUAUGAGCUUGAACGUGACAUCGCCCUCUGGAAGGAAUUUAUCCAAUGCCCAUUUCAAGAUGAACUUGCUUUUACGACUACAAGUUAGUGCGACUCCAACAAGAAAUUUCCCUUCAUCAGCGGCUUUCCUUUCUGCCAUUUCCUGACAGUUAGCGGUUCUGCGUGGAAAAACAUGGUAAGUCUUGCACAAAUAUUUGUUUAACUUGCAUUGUUCUCUAAUUCUGUGAUCACUCAUUAUGAUCUAGGCAAACAUUUCAUAUGUAUCUAGCAAACUGAGACAUGAUAUGUGCUCAUUUAUAGACCUAGGCAAACAUGACUGAAUAAAUGCUUGUAGGCCGCUUUUCAAGCCGAUCUCUGCAAAACCAUAGCCUAGCCACCCAGGGGCGUACCAUAGGGGGGGCGGGCGGGAGCCUCGGCACCCCCUAAGUCCCGAUUUUUUAGAAAAAACUAGUGUAAUAAUAUUGAAUUUUUUUUUAAAAAAAUAGGUAAAUUUCUUACUUGGCCUCCCUAAAAGAUGCAAAAAUAAGGUUUUUUUCCCGCUUCUGUAACCAACAGUUCAUCGGUUGCCAUGGGGAACCCAAGCAUGUUGCCAAGAAUCCAUCUUAAAAGCACCAAAACCGUGAUAUAACGGUACCCGGUUUUAACGGUACGGUUCCGGUUCAUGAAAAUGCCGAACCGGAAUUUCCGAUCACGGUGGUUAACUACCCACGAACACCCCUAGUAUAAACUUAUUGGCAUUUCUUAAAACUACGAGUGCACAACACAUAAAUGUACUUCCUCCGUUCUUUUUCAAUUGCAAUACUCAAUGAUCAGAAUGCUUCUACGCGUAAAACACAAUUCUAUUUAUACCAAUAAUCAAGAAAAAACAAUGUGAAAAUUAGAGAACAUACCAA
Spinacia oleracea (spinach) is the source of this 1637-nucleotide long non-coding RNA. RefSeq lists it as uncharacterized. The record is from RefSeq and is a predicted model, not a curated record. The transcript is spliced from 4 exons. Lineage: Eukaryota; Viridiplantae; Streptophyta; Magnoliopsida; Caryophyllales; Amaranthaceae.